AGCGAACGCUGGCGGCAGGCUUAACACAUGCAAGUCGAGCGGGCAUCUUCGGAUGUCAGCGGCAGACGGGUGAGUAACACGUGGGAACGUACCCUUCGGUUCGGAACAACUCUGGGAAACUGGAGCUAAUACCGGAUACGCCCUUAUGGGGAAAGGUUUACUGCCGGAGGAUCGGCCCGCGUCUGAUUAGCUAGUUGGUGGGGUAACGGCCUACCAAGGCGACGAUCAGUAGCUGGUCUGAGAGGAUGAUCAGCCACACUGGGACUGAGACACGGCCCAGACUCCUACGGGAGGCAGCAGUGGGGAAUAUUGGACAAUGGGCGCAAGCCUGAUCCAGCCAUGCCGCGUGAGUGAUGAAGGCCUUAGGGUUGUAAAGCUCUUUUGUCCGGGACGAUAAUGACGGUACCGGAAGAAUAAGCCCCGGCUAACUUCGUG
Molecule: ribosomal RNA, 435 nt
Filed under: uncultured bacterium
Lineage: Bacteria
Description: partial 16S ribosomal RNA
Rfam family: Bacterial small subunit ribosomal RNA
Source: RNAcentral